This 62-nucleotide transfer RNA is filed under the name Dichotrachelus manueli. RNAcentral describes it as "tRNA-Arg". The record is from RNAcentral. Lineage: Eukaryota; Metazoa; Arthropoda; Insecta; Coleoptera; Curculionidae.
AAUAAGAAGCAAACCUUGCAUUUAGCUUCGACCUAAAAAUUUGAUACACUUAUCCUUAUUUA